UGCCAGCCGCCGCGGUAAUACGGAGGGUGCAAGCGUUAAUCGGAAUUACUGGGCGUAAAGCGCGCGUAGGCGGUUAUUUAAGUCAGAUGUGAAAGCCCAGGGCUCAACCUUGGAACUGCAUUUGAAACUGCUUCGCUUGAGUCCGAGAGAGGAUGAUGGAAUUCCUGGUGUAACGGUGAAAUGUGCAGAUAUCAGGAAGAACACCAGUGGCGAAGGCGGUCAUCUGGCUCGGUACUGACGCUGAGGCACGAAAGCUAGGGUAUCAAACGGGAUUAGAUA
This 279-nucleotide ribosomal RNA is filed under the name uncultured bacterium. Its description in RNAcentral is "partial 16S ribosomal RNA". It matches the Rfam family "Bacterial small subunit ribosomal RNA", at positions 506 to 784 of the family's 1533-position model. The record is from RNAcentral.